Potamilus streckersoni is the source of this 75-nucleotide non-coding RNA. The record is from the annotation of a GenBank genome assembly. Lineage: Eukaryota; Metazoa; Mollusca; Bivalvia; Unionida; Unionidae.
CGCUCCGGUGGCCUACUGGUUAGAACGUCCGCCUCGAAUGCGGGAGGUCGUGGGUUCGAUCACCCGGUCGAGUUA